RNAcentral lists this long non-coding RNA (960 nucleotides) under Gopherus agassizii (Agassiz's desert tortoise). Its description in RNAcentral is "lncRNA (ENSGAGG00000016456.1)". The record is from RNAcentral. Lineage: Eukaryota; Metazoa; Chordata; Testudines; Testudinidae.
UGAAGUUUCCCCUUCCUCCUGCCUCUGCAGGGUUUGUUCAUGUUCCAAUUCCAACCCGAAAAAUCCUCCCAUUACAAAGAGCUAAUGCUCAGCCAGUAUUAUCAAGGCACCCACAAAGAGAGAACAUGAAGCAGCUUAUCUAUGGGAAGGAAAAUGAGAUAGUUUAUGUCUUCAUCCGCAUUAACAGUGCAGGGACAGUCCUGCCCUGCUCCUCUGAACAGCUGGGAACAAAGACGUGGAUGGAUCAAGUUUACAGAUGGACCAAGGACACUGGGCAGGAAAUUCAAGAUUCCAAAUAUUGCUCCAUACUGGAGAAUGGAUCCCUAGCCUUCAAGGACUUUGGCCCAGAGCAGUCUGGAAUCUACAAAUGCAGUGUCUCCUAUUCCAAAGAGGACAAGCGCUACACAAAGCACUUCCAUUUCUUUGUCAGGGGUAUGAUAUGUAGUAAAGCUGCCCAAGGUGCAGAGAGGUGCAGGAGAGGGAUUGGUUGUUUUGUGAAGAACAAGUCAAGAUGCCAGAGAUAAAUGAUUGCCAUGACCAAAGGGGGGAGCAUGAUCUCCUAUACUGGAGAGACCCAGGGAGUCUGAGUAUUGAUGGAGGUUAGGGUGUUGAGGAGAGUGCCAGUGGGAAUAACUGUGGGUCACUAAGGGUAUGUCUACACUGAGAUUAAGAAAACCCAUGGCACAGCCCCAAAGCUAAGGAGGAGCAUGAGCAGGCACUGCCCCCACCCCCGUACAUUUGUUUACUCCUGUAAAUAAGAUGUUCCAGUUUUUCUUCCCCAGUUUCUUAUUCUGAGUUUCCUCAGAUGAGUGACUGUAGUACUAAAGCCACAAAGUAGUAGUCACAAUUCUAGUAGCCCUUGGGCGUAGGGUGUGUUAGUGACCUUGUUUCAGCUAAAUGAAGUGUGGUGACUGCAUUACAUUGCUGCCAUAAUAAAAGAUGUGCAAGAAAGUCUCUGCA